UUCAACUAGCAAGUGAGAUAUCUUAGGUUAAAAUUUUGACAACUGGAUAGAACAAAGGGUUUUUCUUAAAAAGCGAAAGCAAAGCAACAACUGAACCACUAUGACUGCGUCAAAGAAUUUGCAGGCAGCAACGCAUCUUUUACAGGCAACAGUGUCUACACAACCUUAUGUUAUAUCCAUCCACCCUCACUAAGAACUUGCGGCAGUACCCAGAAAAUCCAACAUCAAAUAACAGUCUCUUUCUGCUGAAGUUCGGAAAGCUACUGCCAAUACUAAAUUCAGCAUUCCAUGUACAUAUAGGCUGUACGGUACUAGUCAAAUGCCAGUAUCUACUGUCAAUACAACAGAGAAUGCAGCGUGUCUAAUCGGAAAUUUUAUCAAGCCUGUACAUACACUUAAACAAAUGCUUACAAAGUUAGUCCCAUACUGCCUGCUCUCAUUUUACUUUCAGUCUUGAGGUUCACAAAUUCUCUGGAGUAAGGUCAGUUCCGGGGUAUUGACAGAAAAAGCUGUCCUCUAAAUGCACUAUUUUCCACAUUUGCAAGGAAAGACCACAAGCAUUGUUUUGAUUACCUCUGGUACACAUACAAGUAUUGCUUUUAAAUAUGUUUCUAGUCAAGUUCUCUAAGCCAAAAGCCAACAAGCUGUGACACAGCUGCCAAACAUGCCAUUGAGCCACACUGUGGCUACAGCACAAGGUGGUUACUGUGAAGCUGGGAACAGGAAAGCUCUGCCACAGAAGGAAGAAACAGUUCCUGGGCAGCAAGAGCAGCAGUCACUGCCUCACAGGGCAGCAAGAGCUCACUGGUGCUUGGGAUGUCUGUGGGACUGUGCUUCAGUCCCACCAAAUUUUUAUCAGCAUUCUCAAUUUCCAAGAAAAAGCACAAAUCUGGCAAAUCCUCCCUCUUACAAGGGAGGGAAACACAACUACACUUGUUGUGUUUCAGUUUAAACAAAGUGAUCAGCACUAAAACAAUUCAACAUCAAAUAUGAUACAGGCAAAGGCAUGCACCAACAAGAGAUCAAGUGUAUCCCACCGUGUGCAAUUUAAAAUAACCAACUUCUCACAAAGCACAUUAAAACCCAAGAAAAUUAGCUUUGUGCCACCAACUCAGAUGAAUUUUUAACACGUUAUGAAAGAAUUAGAGCUCAAUUUAUACAAAUAAUUUUCAGAACUGUAACAACAAAGUCAAUAGAAGGGGUAUACAAGUGCAUCUUUUGACAUAAGUACACACAACGGCAAACUACAAUUGGAUAUAAUCUCCAUUUUGAGACUUUGAAUUAAAGACUUCGCAACGUAUUUGG
RNAcentral lists this long non-coding RNA (1305 nucleotides) under Strigops habroptila (Kakapo). Its description in RNAcentral is "lncRNA (ENSSHBG00005004889.1)". The record is from RNAcentral. Lineage: Eukaryota; Metazoa; Chordata; Aves; Psittaciformes; Psittacidae.